UACGUAGGGUGCGAGCGUUAAUCGGAAUUACUGGGCGUAAAGCGUGCGCAGGCGGUUUGCUAAGACCGGUGUGAAAUCCCCGGGCUUAACCUGGGAACUGCAUUGGUGACUGCAUCGCUCGAGUAUGGCAGAGGGGGGUAGAAUUCCACGUGUAGCAGUGAAAUGCGUAGAGAUGUGGAGGAAUACCGAUGGCGAAGGCAGCCCCCUGGGUCAAUACUGACGCUCAUGCACGAAAGCGUGGGGAGCAAACAGG
This 253-nucleotide ribosomal RNA is filed under the name uncultured bacterium. RNAcentral's name for it is "partial 16S ribosomal RNA". It matches the Rfam family "Bacterial small subunit ribosomal RNA", at positions 524 to 776 of the family's 1533-position model. The record is from RNAcentral.